CACACGACUCUCGGCAACGGAUAUCUCGGCUCUCGCAUCGAUGAAGAACGUAGCGAAAUGCGAUACCUGGUGUGAAUUGCAGAAUCCCGCGAACCAUCGAGUCUUUGAACGCAAGUUGCGCCCGAGGCCACUCGGUNGAGGGCACGCCUGCCUGGGCGUCACGC
RNAcentral lists this ribosomal RNA (164 nucleotides) under Bromus diandrus. RNAcentral's name for it is "5.8S ribosomal RNA". It matches the Rfam family "5.8S ribosomal RNA". Rfam says of the family: 5.8S ribosomal RNA (5.8S rRNA) is a component of the large subunit of the eukaryotic ribosome. It is transcribed by RNA polymerase I as part of the 45S precursor that also contains 18S and 28S rRNA. Lineage: Eukaryota; Viridiplantae; Streptophyta; Magnoliopsida; Poales; Poaceae. The record is from RNAcentral.